UUCCCACGUCGGGACUCGAACCCGGGGUUUUUCGGUGAGAGCCAGGUAUCCCAGCCACUAGACUACGAGGCA
Molecule: non-coding RNA, 72 nt
Organism: Cordylochernes scorpioides
Lineage: Eukaryota; Metazoa; Arthropoda; Arachnida; Pseudoscorpiones; Chernetidae
Source: the annotation of a GenBank genome assembly